RNAcentral lists this ribosomal RNA (465 nucleotides) under uncultured bacterium. RNAcentral's name for it is "partial 16S ribosomal RNA". It matches the Rfam family "Bacterial small subunit ribosomal RNA", at positions 338 to 795 of the family's 1533-position model. The record is from RNAcentral.
CCUACGGGAGGCAGCAGUGGGGAAUAUUGCGCAAUGGGCGAAAGCCUGACGCAGCGACGCCGCGUGAGGGAUGAAGGUCUUCGGAUCGUAAACCUCUGUCAGCAGGGAAGAACGGUCACUGUGCUAAUCAGCAGUGAAUUGACGGUACCUGCAAAGGAAGCACCGGCUAACUCCGUGCCAGCAGCCGCGGUAAUACGGAGGGUGCGAGCGUUAAUCGGAAUUACUGGGCGGAAAGCGCUCGUAGGCGGUAUGUCAAGUCAAGGGGGAAAUCCCCGCGCGCAACGUGGGAACUGCCUUUGAAACUGGCAAACUGGAGUGUGUGAGAGGAUAGUGGAAUUCCAGGGGUAGGAGUGAAAUCCGUAGAUAUCUGGAGGAACAUCAGUGGCGAAGGCGACUAUCUGGCACAUAACUGACGCUGAGGAGCGAAAGCGUGGGUAGCAAACAGGAUUAGAUACCCCUGUAGUC